UGCCAGUCGAGCGGAUGAAUGGAGCUUUGCUCCAUGAUUCAGCGGCGGACGGGUGAGUAAUGCCUAGGAAUCUGCCUGGUAGUGGGGGACAACGUUUCGAAAGGAACGCUAAUACCGCAUACGUCCUACGGGAGAAAGUGGGGGAUCUUCGGACCUCACGCUAUCAGAUGAGCCUAGGUCGGAUUAGCUAGUUGGCGAGGUAAAGGCUCACCAAGGCGACGAUCCGUAACUGGUCUGAGAGGAUGAUCAGUCACACUGGAACUGAGACACGGUCCAGACUCCUACGGGAGGCAGCAGUGGGGAAUAUUGGACAAUGGGCGAAAGCCCUGAUCCAGCCAUGCCGCGUGUGUGAAGAAGGUCUUCGGAUUGUAAAGCACUUUAAGUUGGGAGGAAGGGCAGUAAGUUAAUACCUUGCUGUUUUGGCGUUACCGACAGAAUAAGCACCGGCUAACUUCGUGCCAGCGGCCGCGGUAAUACGAAGGGUGCAAGCGUUAAUCG
RNAcentral lists this ribosomal RNA (498 nucleotides) under bacterium enrichment culture clone bHCH1_H9. Its description in RNAcentral is "bacterial SSU rRNA". It matches the Rfam family "Bacterial small subunit ribosomal RNA", at positions 56 to 547 of the family's 1533-position model. The record is from RNAcentral.